CGUCCAGACUCCUACGGGAGGCAGCAGUGGGGAAUAUUGCACAAUGGGGGAAACCCUGAUGCAGCGACGCCGCGUGAGCGAUGAAGUAUUUCGGUAUGUAAAGCUCUAUCAGCAGGGAAGAAGAUGACGGUACCUGACUAAGAAGCCCCGGCUAACUACGUGCCAGCAGCCGCGGUAAUACGUAGGGGGCAAGCGUUAUCCGGAUUUACUGGGUGUAAAGGGAGCGUAGACGGCGAUGCAAGCCAGAUGUGAAAGCCCGGGGCUCAACCCCGGGACUGCAUUUGGAACUGUGUGGCUGGAGUGUCGGAGAGGCAGGCGGAAUUCCUAGUGUAGCGGUGAAAUGCGUAGAUAUUAGGAGGAACACCAGUGGCGAAGGCGGCUUACUGGACUGUAACUGACGUUGAGGCUCGAAAGCGUGGGGAGCAAACAGGAUUAGAUACCCGGGUA
This 447-nucleotide ribosomal RNA is filed under the name uncultured bacterium. RNAcentral describes it as "bacterial SSU rRNA". It matches the Rfam family "Bacterial small subunit ribosomal RNA", at positions 328 to 792 of the family's 1533-position model. The record is from RNAcentral.